UUGCUUAUGCAGCAUAUAUACUAAAAUAUUGGAAUGAUACAGUGAAGAUUAGCAUGGCCUCUAUGCAUGAAAGACAUACAAAUUCAUGAAAUGUACCAUAUUAAA
Small nuclear RNA from Suricata suricatta (meerkat), 105 nucleotides. The record is from Ensembl. NCBI's taxonomy places the organism in Eukaryota, Metazoa, Chordata, Mammalia, Carnivora, Herpestidae.